GAUGAACGCUGGCGGCGUGCCUAAUACAUGCAAGUCGAGCGAACGGACGAGAAGCUUGCUUCUCUUAUGUUAUCGGCUGACGGGUGAUUAACACGUUUAUAACCUACCUUUAUUACUUGUAUAACUUCGUGAAUCCGUAGCUAAUACCGGAUAAUAUUUUGAACCGCAUGGUUCAAAAGUUAAAUACGUUCUUUCUGUCACUUAUAGAUGUAUCCUCGCUGCAUUAGCUAGUUGUUAAGGUAACGGCUUACCAAGGCAACGAUGCAUAGCCGACCUGAGAGGGUGAUCGGCCACACUGGAACUGAGACACGGUCCAGACUCCUACGGGAGGCAGCAGUAGGGAAUGUUACGCAAUGGGCGAAAGCCUGACGGAGCAACGCCGCGUGAGUGAUGAAGGUCUUCGGAUCGUAAAACUCUGUUAUUAGGGAAGAACAUAUGUGUAAGUAACUGUGCACAUCUUGACGGUACCUAAUCAGAAAGCCACGGCUAACUACGUG
RNAcentral lists this ribosomal RNA (497 nucleotides) under uncultured bacterium. Its description in RNAcentral is "partial 16S ribosomal RNA". It matches the Rfam family "Bacterial small subunit ribosomal RNA", at positions 28 to 507 of the family's 1533-position model. The record is from RNAcentral.